AUUCUACAAAAUAUCUUUAUGUGCCCAAAGCAUAUUCUGAGUGGAAGAGUUUGAAUUUGGGCAAAACAAUUUGAAUUUCAAAAUCCCAAUUUGGUGGAAAUUCCUAUUUGAAUUGGGGCAGCUUAGAAAUUCAAAAAUUACCUUUGAUUUUUCUCAAUAACUUGAAAAAUUCCCAAAAUAAAAGUUGUUAAAGUUGAGGAUCUCUACAACUUUCAUGUUGGUCACUAUUCAAGAUUCCAAGCAGAUUUUGAAUUAGGGAUUCAAAUUGGAAAAGGGGAC
This 279-nucleotide long non-coding RNA is filed under the name Sorghum bicolor (sorghum). RNAcentral's name for it is "long non-coding RNA (SBIC_LNC015915)". Lineage: Eukaryota; Viridiplantae; Streptophyta; Magnoliopsida; Poales; Poaceae. The record is from RNAcentral.